AUUGGCGGUUGCCUGAAUUUGGAUUCAAAGUCGUCACUAACGCCUCGCCGCGCGCAACAUUCAAACGUCCCCGUUGUUCACGGUCCCUCUGGUCCCCGCUGUCCGUCCGCUGGAUUUUUAGUAAGAACAGCCAUGGAGCCGCCUUCUCUCCGGGAGCUGGACACCCUAAAGUAUGCCGAGCUGCAGAAGCUGGCCAAGGCCGCCGGCCUGAAGGCGAACAUGAAGGCUGACCGACUUCUUAGAAUUCUGAAGAAACACUUUCAUCCAGCUUUCGGCGCAGAGAACAGUAGCAGUGAUUCAGAUGGUAACUCUACCCUCCCGGAUGACAUACAAGGCACGCUGGAUGAAGAACAGGUUUCUAUAUGCCAUGUUACCCUCAGACGUGGCCGGGCUAAAAAGGAAAACCAUGCUGAUUCCAGUCCAGAGGUGGAAAACAAAGUAAAAACCAUUCAGGGAGAUGGUGCGGAGAAGGAUGCAGCGGAAACUUCUAUUUCUACAAGCUUACAACAGGACCAACCAGAUGAGCCUCAAGAGAAUAUAGUAGUCACUGCUAAGGUGGCUAAAAAGAGACGAAGUAAAGGUAAAUCCUCAUCUGGCAGAAAACUUAGCAGCAAGAUCCCGAAGAGUUCUGGGAAAUCCAAAGCUGGAUCAAAACCUUCGACUCCCAAUUUCAAGAGGUUGCACGAAGCCCACUUCAAAAAGAUGGAAUCGAUAGACAAAUACUUGGAGAGAAAGCAGAAGCGUCUGGAUGCAAUAACCACCUCCAUCCAAGAAGUGAAGAUGCUGACUGAGGGCUCCGAGCAGCUUUCACUGAAAAAGACACCAGGCAGCAACUCUAAGAAAUCUUUGCCGAAUAGAUUCUCUUUACUAAGUCCAAAACCACAGACGAGUUACCUAUCGGCAAAAACGCCGGCAAACCAAAGGUCUGCAGGCAAGAGGAGUAUACUGGUUGACAAAUCUGGUGUUAAACCGUCUACAUUUUCAUCAUCUAAAAUGAACGUGAGGUUUUCUGGAGCCACAAAGGACAAUGAGCACAAGUACUCCUUGGUAAAGACACCCGCCAGGAAAUCCUCUACUUUUCUACCCAACGCAGACAACAGUGAAGCAAGAAAAAGUUUACCACUGGCUAAAAAGAAACCCGCGCAGGGUACUGAAGAAACCAACACUCCAGCAGCUGUUACACCUUUCAAAUUUACGGCUGAAAACGUGACAACUCCAAAUACGAACAAAAAGAUGAAAUUCGACCUCCAGGCAAGCUUGUCACGUCCACUUGGAUAUCAACCAUAUAAGGGCAAACUUAAGCCAUGGGGAGAAACUAAAGAGAAUAAAGAUGCAGCACAGAACAGGUCAUCCAUGCUGAAGAAUAACUACAAGCAGCCUCCCGCUUCAACCAGACAGGAACCAUAGAAUAGGAAGCCAUUUUGUAGAAAACUUGCAGAGAACACAUGUGGAAAGCUUAGUGUGAACUGAACCUUUACUGCAGUCAUGAGAGGGGGAGGGAUCCUGCAGCAGCUAAUUGCCUUACAGCUAAAGAGACGAGCGGCGUAAACAGCAUGAGAAGGACCGAAAGAACCAGAGAGACAAAACGCUUGGGUCCAGGAGAGGAGUCGCCGUCCUUUAGAGAAUUUAAUACGUUUUUUUUUUAGGACCAAUUUUGUUGUCAUCCUCUACUUCUGUAAAAUGAGGGAAUUUUUUUUUAUUUUCUGUAUUUUAAUGUUCUUGCUUAAGCAGCUUUACAAAGUUGGACAUUCUAUACCGCCACUUGUUUUUUUUAAGAUUGACAAAUAAUGGUUAUGUAAAUAUAUUGAUGGCAGCUAAUGUUAAAAUAAUUCAACCUUUUAGAUAGCUCCUGCUUAGAGAUGAGCGAACUUACAGUAAAUUUGAUU
Molecule: RNA transcript, 1886 nt
Organism: Hyla sarda
Lineage: Eukaryota; Metazoa; Chordata; Amphibia; Anura; Hylidae
Gene: NUSAP1
Gene name: nucleolar and spindle associated protein 1
Exons: 13
Source: RefSeq, a predicted model, not a curated record